RNAcentral lists this ribosomal RNA (500 nucleotides) under uncultured bacterium. Its description in RNAcentral is "partial 16S ribosomal RNA". It matches the Rfam family "Bacterial small subunit ribosomal RNA", at positions 30 to 523 of the family's 1533-position model. The record is from RNAcentral.
AUUGAACGCAGGCGGAAUGCUUUACACAUGCAAGUCGAACGGCAGCACGGACUUCGGUCUGGCGGCGAGUGGCGAACGGGUGAGUAAUGUAUCGGAACGUGCCCAGUCGUGGGGGAUAACGUAGUGAAAAUUACGCUAAUACCGCAUACGAUCUAUGGAUGAAAGCGGGGGAUCGCAAGACCUCGCGCGAUUGGAGCGGCCGAUAUCAGAUUAGGUAGUUGGUGGGGUAAAGGCCCACCAAGCCAACGAUCUGUAGCUGGUCUGAGAGGACGACCAGCCACACUGGAACUGAGACCCGGUCCAGACUCCUACGGGAGGCAGCAGUGGGGAAUUUUGGACAAUGGGCGAAAGCCUGAUCCAGCCAUUCCGCGUGCAGGAUGAAGGCCCUCGGGUUGUAAACUGCUUUUGUACAGAACGAAAAGGUUUCUACUAAUACUAGGAGCUCAUGACGGUACUGUAAGAAUAAGCACCGGCUAACUACGUGCCAGCCGCCGCGGUAA